RNAcentral lists this transfer RNA (77 nucleotides) under Ilumatobacteraceae bacterium. RNAcentral describes it as "tRNA-Arg". It matches the Rfam family "tRNA". Rfam says of the family: Transfer RNA (tRNA) molecules are approximately 80 nucleotides in length. Lineage: Bacteria; Bacillati; Actinomycetota; Acidimicrobiia; Acidimicrobiales; Ilumatobacteraceae. The record is from RNAcentral. RNAcentral also lists the same sequence under 1 other name.
GCCCUUGUAGCUCAGUUGGAUAGAGCGGCGGACUUCUAAUCCGUAGGUCGUAGGUUCGAUUCCUACCGAGGGCGCCA